RNAcentral lists this unclassified non-coding RNA (676 nucleotides) under Hevea brasiliensis (rubber tree). Lineage: Eukaryota; Viridiplantae; Streptophyta; Magnoliopsida; Malpighiales; Euphorbiaceae. The record is from RNAcentral.
AAAAAAAAAAAAAAGGUUUUAAUGCUGUCUACUUGUAGUUCUUCAAAUCAACCACGACAACGCUGACGUUGUCGUAGCUCCGCCUAGCAAGGGCUAGUUUAGUCAAAAGCAUCGAUGCAUCAGAGCAACACUGGUCGGAAUUCACCUCGCCGUCGGUUCCAUUUCCCGGCAUUGACGCCGGCGAUGCAUUCCCUUUCAGGCACAUUCCGGCAACGCCACAUGCAGUGUCGUUUGAGACUACGUCCCAUAAUCCGUCACUUGCUAAAAUCAAACAGUCAUCCUCCGACGUUCGAUCAGUUAUCGUCACUUCUGGCUCGCAGAUCACAUACGGCUUCAAAUAAUUAUCACCAAUGGCUCUUGACAUAGCCAAAACGCCUGAAACACGAGGGCCGUCCCAGUAGAUUACUCUGCCACCAGCUUCCUGGAUGCGGUUAAGUUCAUCCGGACGAUCCGGUUUUUGAUCGUUAGAAAGGGGAAUAGCUUUGCCAUUCCGGCAAAGAAUAGCUCUGGAAUCACCACAAUUCGCGACAAUAAUCUUGUCCGGCGUAACAACGGCGACUACCGCCGUUGAACCAACGGCGUCACAUUCCGGCGUAUGAAGUUCGCAACGGCAUGUGGCUCCGGUUACGCUCUUGUUCCAUUCAAUCACUUCUUUCUCCAUUCGAUUGAAGCUUCG